The sequence is a ribosomal RNA, 403 nucleotides long. It matches the Rfam family "Bacterial small subunit ribosomal RNA", at positions 355 to 774 of the family's 1533-position model.
UGGGGAAUAUUGCACAAUGGGCGAAAGCCUGAUGCAGCGACGCCGCGUGAGGGAAGACGGUCUUCGGAUUGUAAACCUCUGUCUUUGGGGAAGAAUAAAUGACAGUACCCAAGGAGGAAGCCACGGCUAACUACGUGCCAGCAGCCGCGGUAAUACGUAGGUGGCGAGCGUUGUCCGGAAUUACUGGGUGUAAAGGGAGCGUAGGCGGGAUUUCAAGUCAAGUGUUAAAUCUAUGGGCUCAACUCAUAGUUGCGCUUGAAACUGAAGUUCUUGAGUGAAGUAGAGGCAGGCGGAAUUCCUAGUGUAGCGGUGAAAUGCGUAGAUAUUAGGAGGAACACCAGUGGCGAAGGCGGCCUGCUGGGCUUUUACUGACGCUGAGGCUCGAAAGCGUGGGGAGCAAACA